AUAGCAACAGCAGCGUAGCUGAACAUCUUACGGAUGGCCCAGGGCUCCAAAGGCUCGUUUCCUAAGUGAGAGAGAGCCUGGCUGAAGCUGUAUUACCAUUCAUUCUCCAGCCUCCGAAGUCUCAAAGCAUCACUUCCACCAUACUCUAACUGUCAAGACAAACACAAAGGCCCAGAAACUGCCAGACUGUCUUCUGAAGUGGCUAUAAUAUUUACACUCCCAUCAGCAGUGUAGAAGGGGUCUCACUAUGUUGUCUGGAGUGCUGUGGUGGAGUGGAGUGGCUAUUCACAGCUGAGUUUGCAGAGUAAACCACUACCCUGAAAUCUGGAAAGGCAGGUGCACCCACAGAUCCUCAGCUGAGAUCCAAUUACCUGAAAUAGAAGCUGCCAUUAGGAACACUUAAAAGAGCCUGUUCUGCUGGGACACAGAAUCACUUGCUCCAUCUCAUACAUUGAUGAUGAUUAAUUUGUAUGUGUACCUUCCAAAAAAGAUGGUUGUGUUUGAAUGGAGGCCUUCUGGACAGGAAAAUAAUCACAUCCUUCCUGAGAUAAUGAGCACACAAUUGCCUGGAUACCUGAAGGAAUGGAGACAGCGGCAGAAAACACUGCAGAGAGGUGGAAACAUCCGUUAAUAUUUUAAAAUCCCAUUACUGCUACCAACAAUAAUAAUGGAUGCAUAGAAAUAGAUCUGGAUUAGCUGAGCUUGAAACAGUCCAUCUCACACACACACAAAAGAAUUUCAGAUACAGUGAACCCACAUGUUGAAGCUUUCUAGUAUAAUAAAAAUUUCAACUGUUCUGUUGAAUCAUCUGCCUGAUUGGAGGCUACAGAAAAGAUGUCAUCUUAGGAGUGCUUGCUCUGAGUGAGGCUCAUCUUCAAAUCUGAAUGACCACAAGGAGAUUUGAUUAUACAUGUGAACACCUCAGAAGGCACAGCCCACCCAGAAGGCAGACAGAAGAAGCUGCCAGGAAGACUGUGAAAUCUUCAUGCCCAAGGAUCCCUAAAAUUAGGAGCAACAACCACUUGGCUCAGACGGUUUAUGGAGGCAAAGGUUUGGAUGGGAUUAGAGAUUUCUAAAUGUGAGUUCGUGUCCUCUGCCAGACCACCUUACUUCCACCAUUCCUCAGCAAAUCAAGAAAAACAGGAGAAAAGACAUGCCUUUCCAUAAGUUAAAUCUAUUCUGUUUUAAUUCUAUAUUAUAUCUGCUGUACAACUUCUUUUGUUUGUAACACCAUAUUGUUGCUAGUAACUGGAAAUUAAUUUUCACAUGCCUCAGCUUAGAAAAAUAAAAAGCAGCCCUGCAUCAAUCCCAA
RNAcentral lists this long non-coding RNA (1312 nucleotides) under Homo sapiens (human). Its description in RNAcentral is "long intergenic non-protein coding RNA 635". Lineage: Eukaryota; Metazoa; Chordata; Mammalia; Primates; Hominidae. The record is from RNAcentral.